RNAcentral lists this ribosomal RNA (253 nucleotides) under uncultured bacterium. RNAcentral's name for it is "partial 16S ribosomal RNA". It matches the Rfam family "Bacterial small subunit ribosomal RNA", at positions 524 to 776 of the family's 1533-position model. The record is from RNAcentral.
UACAGAGGUCCCAAGCGUUGUUCGGAUUCACUGGGCGUAAAGGGAGCGUAGGCGGUCGGGUAAGUCUGAUGUGAAAUCUCACAGCUUAACUGUGAAACUGCAUUGGAUACUAUCCGGCUAGAGGAAUGGAGGGGAGACUGGAAUACUUGGUGUAGCAGUGAAAUGCGUAGAUAUCAAGUGGAACACCAGUGGCGAAGGCGAGUCUCUGGACAUUUCCUGACGCUGAGGCACGAAAGCCAGGGGAGCAAACGGG